RNAcentral lists this unclassified non-coding RNA (171 nucleotides) under uncultured Phaeoacremonium. RNAcentral describes it as "sequence contains ITS2". Lineage: Eukaryota; Fungi; Ascomycota; Sordariomycetes. The record is from RNAcentral.
CAACCCUCAAGCGCUGUUCCGCUUGGAGUUGGGGCUCUUGCAGCGAGCACUCCAGUGCUUCGCAAGCCCCGAAAUUCAGCGGCGGGCCCGCCGGCACACCGAGCGCAGUAAAUAUUACUUCUCGUUCAGGGCGUGCGGCGCGGCGCAGCCGGAUCUUCUAAAACUUUUCAA